This 468-nucleotide ribosomal RNA is filed under the name uncultured bacterium. RNAcentral's name for it is "partial 16S ribosomal RNA". It matches the Rfam family "Bacterial small subunit ribosomal RNA", at positions 28 to 507 of the family's 1533-position model. The record is from RNAcentral.
GACGAACGCUGGCGGCGUGCUUAACACAUGCAAGUCGAACGGAAAGACCCUGCUUUUGUGGGGUGCUCGAGUGGCGAACGGGUGAGUAACACGUGAGUAACCUGCCCUUGACUUUGGGAUAACUUCAGGAAACUGGGGCUAAUACCGGAUAGGAGCUCCUGCUGCAUGGUGGGGGUUGGAAAGUUUCGGCGGUUGGGGAUGGACUCGCGGCUUAUCAGCUUGUUGGUGGGGUAGUGGCUUACCAAGGCUUUGACGGGUAGCCGGCCUGAGAGGGUGACCGGCCACAGUGGGACUGAGAUACGGACCAGACUCCUACGGGAGGCAGCAGUGGGGAAUAUUGCACAAUGGGCGGAAGCCUGAUGCAGCAACGCCGCGUGCGGGAUGACGGCCUUCGGGUUGUAAACCGCUUUCGCCUGUGACGAAGCGUGAGUGACGGUAAUGGGUAAAGAAGCACCGGCUAACUACGUG